Triticum aestivum (bread wheat) is the source of this 2408-nucleotide long non-coding RNA. RefSeq lists it as uncharacterized. The record is from RefSeq and is a predicted model, not a curated record. NCBI's taxonomy places the organism in Eukaryota, Viridiplantae, Streptophyta, Magnoliopsida, Poales, Poaceae. The transcript has 3 exons.
UCCUGCGCCGCGCGCCCGCGCCCUCUCCGCCCCCGCCGAGGAUGGAGGCUGCCGCAGCCGGAUUCGCAACCGGCGCGCGGGCGGCAGCCGCGGCGCGUCCCUUCGGCCUCGACCUCCAGGCGGCGGCCGGAGGCGUGCGACGACCCCGCCGGGCCAUCCCCAUGCCCGCAGCGGGCCCCCACGGCGGCCACCUCCCCUUCGCCACGGCGCCGUCGACCCUCUACGCGGCGUACGGAGGUGAGAACCGAUCAUGAAACUCCGUAGAGACCUUGCAAUGUACCUUGCUUGGGAGAUGCUUAGACAACUCCGUGGGCUUACUUGCAGCGGAGCCUCGUCGGCCGCCACGGCUGGAGUUCGGCCGCGUCGUGACGGAGUUUGAUUCGGCUCUGACGAUCGAUUCGCACCUGGUGCGGGUACCCGUGACCCGUCCCUCCUCCAUGGCCCCGGCGGGACCAUGCUACGAGCACCUUGGCUGCGGCCGCCCGGUGUCCCUGCUCCCGCUCCGAACUCGGGUCGAUCCUCUCGUUCCAAUCAUACACGCCGCCGUAAGAUGCUUUGUAAUCAUCUACAUGUGUCCCUUGUGAACGAUCUCGUGCAGGAGCUCGUCGCACUCACUCUUCCCGCCGUUCAGCAGCGGCCGUGGGACUCGGAGGUGAACCCCGCUGGCUGAUGGCGGCGGCUGCGGUGGGACGACGCGGCCGAUCCAGUGGCUUUGCCAACCCCUAUGCUGGCGUGCCUCCCCAAGGCCGGCGCGUGUAUGCUCAGGGGGAGAGCAAUGGUGCUCCGUCGGAAUCUGACAGGAAUGGGCACAAGGAACCAAGAACAGUGGAUGAGUUGAUGGAAGCAUACCCAAGAUGCACCUCCUUCUUCAAGUUGGUCACCGUAGUGCUGUGUCUCGGGCUGUGCUUCUUGUCCGCAAAGGGUGAUCCAAGGGCAGCCUUGAUGGUCACGACAUCGAAGGAUGCAGCCGAGGUCUACAAGUUCCUUUGUGACGUCCUACUUAUCUUGAAGAAGCUGUUCUUUCCAUGAUCUAGAUCGAAGAGGUGAUGGGUGACAGUGUGAUUUCCUUGGAACCUGAAGAAAGGCGCUACAAGGGUCAGAUACAGAUAUCAGAUAGAGCAUAGAAGAUACCUCAAGUGGCCGGCCAAAUCCGAUAACAUAGGAGCAAUGCCAAGCCAACGCCAUCGACUGACUGCAAACUCCAGUACCUCGGCAAAGAACGCUGCGACCGUGCCAUCAACGAAUUGGCAUGCGAUGCAUUACCGUGCAAGAUGAAGCAAGCACCGGCGCGGUUACGCCUCCAUGGCGCGACGCAUCGAGAAGGCGUCGAUCGUGGCGGCGCGAGGCGUCGGAAGCAGCACGCCGUCUGCGCGGGCGCAGCCGCAGCGACAUGUAGCGGCACAGCAGCUGGGCGCGACUGCGGGUUGCGCCUGACACAGCGUCAACAACGCGGACUGCAGCGGCAGCGCGGUGGCGGCAUGACUGACGCGGCCUGUCCAGAAAGCAAGGAGGCCACGCGAGAGGAGUUGCCUCUCCAAGUUUCCAUCGGCGCUGAGCGCAGCGAUGUAUGAAAAAGACGACGAAAAAGAACAACCAUCACCGCACGUCCACCGGCCGUCCACAAGAAGAGACUACAAGCAGGACCAAGAAGCUCCAUCGAUGUUCUCCAUUGAUGAGAAACUUGGCUAAACUAUCAGCUUCAGUAUUAGCAGCUUGGCCUUCAAAGGUGAACUUGGAGUUGAACAUUACUACCCGCUGCUUAACCUCGUUGAUAAUGGCACCAUAUAUAGCUCCCAUGUGUACCUCUAUCAAUGUCGAUCACUAUUUGCUUCGAAUCUGAGGCGAUGAUGAAGUUUCUUAUUGGAAACCGCUCCUCCUCUGCCGCUUGGGUGGGGUGACGAAAGGCCGGAGAGGGCCACCAUGGUCCUAAUGAGCUGGGCCAAUGCUCAAGAACUUGCCGUAAUAAAUCAAAAAAGGAAAAUGGGAAAAAAGAAAAGAUGAAGUGGCACACUGAUUUGGGCAAUGUAAUGUUAAUGAUGCUUGCAAUGAGGACUCGUAUGCUUGGUACUAUGAUAGCAGGGGGCAGUUUUCAGUCAAGUCAGCCUAUAAGGUGUACAUAAAAGGAAGAGACAUGAACCUGCCAGGAGCGUCAAACACCCCCGCAACUACUUGGGAAUGGAAGGAUAUUUGGUCAAUACCUUGCCAGCCUAAGAUUCAGCAGUUUAUGUGGCGUUUUGCACAUAACAGUCUACCUUUAAGGAUGAAUAUGAAGGGAAGGGGCAUUGAGUGUGACACCCUAUGUGUUUGUUGCCGGCGGCUAGACGACACUAGUAGAAAAAGGGUCAUCUGUCCCGGUUGGUAAGGGCCUUUUGUCCCGGUUGUUGAACCGGGACUAAAGGGUCGUUACU